GGUCCCGCCUGCCCUGUGACCCCUGGUUUAACGGCCGCGGUAUUUUGACCGCGCGAAGGUAGCGCAAUCACUUGUCCUUUAAAUGGGGACCUGUAUGAAUGGCAUAACGAGGGCUUAACUGUCUCCUUUCCCCGGUCAAUGAAAUUGAUCUUCCCGUGCAGAAGCGGGAAUCCUAACAUAAGACGAGAAGACCCUAUGGAGCUUUAGACCUUAGAGCAGAUCAUGUUUUGUUAUCCCAUUAAGCAAGUAAUAACUAUUGAACCCCUGUUCUACUGUCUUUGGUUGGGGCGACCACGGGGAAGAAAAAAACCCCCACGUGGACUGGGAGCACACUACUCCUUCAACUACGAGCCACAGCUCUAAUGCGCAGAAUCUCUGACCAUAAGAUCCGGCAAAGCCGAUCAACGGACCGAGUUACCCUAGGGAUAACAGCGCAAUCCCCUUUAAGAGUCCAUAUCGACAAGGGGGUUUACGACCUCGAUGUUGGAUCAAGACAUCCUAAUGGUGCAGCCGCUAUUAAGGGUUCGUUUGUUCAACGAUUAAAGUCUU
Molecule: ribosomal RNA, 549 nt
Filed under: Neochelon falcipinnis (sicklefin mullet)
Lineage: Eukaryota; Metazoa; Chordata; Actinopteri; Mugiliformes; Mugilidae
Description: partial 16S ribosomal RNA
Rfam family: Bacterial large subunit ribosomal RNA
Source: RNAcentral